RNAcentral lists this ribosomal RNA (1175 nucleotides) under Gaeumannomycella caricis. Its description in RNAcentral is "eukaryotic LSU rRNA". It matches the Rfam family "Eukaryotic large subunit ribosomal RNA", at positions 40 to 1420 of the family's 3401-position model. The record is from RNAcentral. Lineage: Eukaryota; Fungi; Ascomycota; Sordariomycetes; Magnaporthales; Magnaporthaceae.
AUAUCAAUAAGCGGAGGAAAAGAAACCAACAGGGAUUGCCCUAGUAACGGCGAGUGAAGCGGCAACAGCUCAAAUUUGAAAUCUGGCCCUAGGCCCGAGUUGUAAUUUGCAGAGGAUGCUUUUGGUGAGGUGCUUACCGAGUCCCCUGGAAUGGGGCGCCACAGAGGGUGAGAGCCCCGUAUGGUUUGCCACCGAGCCUUUGUAAAGCUCCUUCGACGAGUCGAGUAGUUUGGGAAUGCUGCUCUAAAUGGGAGGUAAAUUUCUUCUAAAGCUAAAUACCGGCCAGAGACCGAUAGCGCACAAGUAGAGUGAUCGAAAGAUGAAAAGCACUUUGAAAAGAGGGUUAAAUAGCACGUGAAAUUGUUGAAAGGGAAGCGCUCGUGACCAGACUUGCGCCUGGCGGAUCAUCCGGCGUUCUCGCCGGUGCACUCCGCCAGGCUCAGGCCAGCAUCGGUUUUCGCCGGGGGACAAAAGCUUCAGGAACGUGGCUCCUCUCGGGGAGUGUUAUAGCCUGUUGCAGAAUACCCCGGUGGGGACCGAGGACCGCGCUUCGGCAAGGAUGCUGGCGUAAUGGUCAUCAGCGACCCGUCUUGAAACACGGACCGAGGAGUCAAGCAUUAGUGCGAGUGUUUGGGUGUAAAACCCGCACGCGUAAUGAAAGUAAACGUAGGUGAGAGCUUCGGCGCAUCAUCGACCGAUCCUGAUGUUUUCGGAUGGAUUUGAGUAGGAGCAUUAACGCUUGGACCCGAAAGAUGGUGAACUAUACUUGAAUAGGGUGAAGCCAGAGGAAACUCUGGUGGAGGCUCGCAGCGGUUCUGACGUGCAAAUCGAUCGUCAAAUUUGAGUAUAGGGGCGAAAGACUAAUCGAACCAUUGAAUGGUAACAGUACUAGGUGGUUGAGAGGCGGCCCACAAGGGCGCGCCUAGUCCGACGCCCAGUUGGGGGCUAGGGCGACAUCGCCAAAUUGACGGGGACACCCUGAAGGGCCAGGCUACCGCAGCGGGGUCGAAAGACGCCCGCGCGCACCGGAGGUAACUCCCCCGGGGAUGGUAAAAACGCCUGGCUUAUAGGGCAAUCCGCAGCCAAGUCCCUAAAGGCCUUCGGGCCCAGGGGAAGGGGUUCACAGACUAGACGGUGAUGGGUCGCCGGGGGGGUCCUGAGGGGCCCCGCCGCGG